RNAcentral lists this ribosomal RNA (510 nucleotides) under uncultured bacterium. RNAcentral's name for it is "partial 16S ribosomal RNA". It matches the Rfam family "Bacterial small subunit ribosomal RNA", at positions 29 to 507 of the family's 1533-position model. The record is from RNAcentral.
ACAAACGCUGGCGGCAUGCCUAACACCUGCCAGUCGAACGGACAGAACAGGGAAGCUUUUCGGAGUGGAACUGGAAAGUUAGUGGCGGAUGGGUGAGUAACGCGUGGACAACCUACCUUGUAAAGGGGAAUAACCUCGAGAAAUCGAAGCUAAUACCCCAUAAUAACCUUGCUUCGCAUGAAGUAAGGAGGAAAGGCGGCCUUAGCGCUGUCGAUACAAGAUGGGUCCGCGUCUGAUUAGCUAGUUGGUGAGGUAAAGGCUCACCAAGGCGACGAUCAGUAGCCGGCCUGAGAGGGUGAACGGCCACAUUGGGACUGAGACACGGCCCAAACUCCUACGGGAGGCAGCAGUGGGGAAUCUUCCGCAAUGGGCGAAAGCCUGACGGAGCAAUGCCGCGUGAGUGAAGAAGGCCUUCGGGUUGUAAAACUCUGUCCUUAUCGAAGAGAGAGUGUUGUAGUAACUGACAAUACUAGGACGGUAGAUGAGGAGGAAGCCCCGGCUAACUAUGUG